UCUCUCUCUCUCUCUCUCUCUCUCUCUCACACACACACACACACACACACACACAAGAUGCUGUGAGAUAUAUGAGGUGCUUAUUUUAAUCACGAAUGCUCCGUUUUCCAAGCUGCAAUGUCACAGUUUUCAUCAAGCCUCGGUUUAUGUUUUUUAUUAAGAAGCCGAGAGCUCCAGUUUUUUUUUCUCUCUGUUUGUCGAAGUGCCAGCCGGAGUGACAUCAUGCAGCCAUUGUUUUUUUGGAGCGCUCUGGAAUUUCCAUUUGUGCCUCUUGGCUUUAUAAUGUGCUCCUAGACAAUGCGGCAUUAACUCCAUGCUGAGUGUGAGAUCCAGCCUGGUGGACUGAGGUUCACGCUUCCUGAUGUAAUAGGAGUGACUGUGGCCUUUGCACACAGCUGUCCCAGAGCAGUGAAGAGUGAGGACUCAGAGGAGCGCUGAAUUCCUGUCAGAGGUGGGAGCAGUCAAAACCUCAGUGCCCAGCUUCUCUCCACUGUGUCCCCUGGAGCCCGUAUGCAAAUGAUAGCUUGGUAGCAGAUGUGCCUCUCUUGUUUACUGUGAUAUAGAGAGCGCCUUCGCUCCAUCAGCUCGAGAUCAUUGCCGAUGGAGUGCGUGUGCAGUCCAGACCGCAAGCCUGCAGAAUCGGGAAGACGAAAGAAGUGCCAAGCUCUUCCCUUCUCCGAUCAGGUUUCCUCCUGUCAGAAGACAAGCAUCCGCUGCGUUUUGAAACUAUUUUCAGCUCACUGACCAAGACACACUUUCUUCGCUGUUUGAGGAGCCAUGCGAUGAAGCGCACAUUUUCAACAGACAGAAUGGUUCUCUCAGAAUGGUUCAGCUAAAAAGCUGAAUCAACAACAGGCUCUUUGCACCCCCCCCCCAAAUGUGAACAUCUAUUGGCUUUGUUUUUUAACAUUAAUCCCUUUAUGUCAUGAAGAGACAGGAAAUAAAGUAGACUUACUUCGCUCUGGUUUUUAAGUUCAUGUUCCUUCUUUCUCCUCACUACAUUCCUCUAGAAUCACACAGCUGACUUAUUAGCAUCAAACAUUCAAAAAUCUUGUAACAACAGGUGUAACAGCGAGAAUGUACAUUAAUACCAAUCAGUCUAAUCUAUCUGUUGCUAUGUAGACUUUGCAUUUAGCAAGGACGUGAAUUGGAACAGCUAGUUCAUUAUUAGCAUUCAGCUAGUUUGUGCUGU
Molecule: long non-coding RNA, 1192 nt
Organism: Ictalurus punctatus (channel catfish)
Lineage: Eukaryota; Metazoa; Chordata; Actinopteri; Siluriformes; Ictaluridae
Exons: 4
Source: RefSeq, a predicted model, not a curated record